This 637-nucleotide ribosomal RNA is filed under the name Thelephora duplexa. RNAcentral's name for it is "Tomentella duplexa partial large subunit ribosomal RNA". It matches the Rfam family "Eukaryotic large subunit ribosomal RNA", at positions 34 to 652 of the family's 3401-position model. Lineage: Eukaryota; Fungi; Basidiomycota; Agaricomycetes; Thelephorales; Thelephoraceae. The record is from RNAcentral.
UUAAGCAUAUCAAUAAGCGGAGGAAAAGAAACUAACAAGGAUUCCCCUAGUAACUGCGAGUGAAGCGGGAAGAGCUCAAAUUUAAAAUCUGGCGUGCCUCCGGCCGUCCGAGUUGUAGUCUGAAGAAGCGUUUUCCGUGUUGGACCGUGUAUAAGUCUCUUGGAACAGGGCGUCAUAGAGGGUGAGAAUCCCGUCUUUGACACGGACUACCAAUGCUUUGUGAUGCGCUCUCAAAGAGUCGAGUUGUUUGGGAAUGCAGCUCAAAAUGGGUGGUAAAUUCCAUCUAAAGCUAAAUAUAGGCGAGAGACCGAUAGCGAACAAGUACCGUGAGGGAAAGAUGAAAAGCACUUUGGAAAGAGAGUUAAACAGUACGUGAAAUUGCUGAAAGGGAAACGCUUGAAGUCAGUCACGUCUGCCAGGACUCAGCCUCGCUUCUGCUUGGUGCACUUUCUGGUUUGAUGGGCCAACAUCAAUUUUGACCGUUGGAGAAAGGCUUUGGGAAUGUGGCACCUUUGGGUGUGUUAUAGCCCUUUGUCAUAUACAACGGUUGGGAUUGAGGACCGCAGCAUGCCUUUAUGGCCGGGGUUCGCCCACGUACGUGCUUAGGAUGUUGGCAUAAUGGCUUUAAGCGACCCGU